Molecule: ribosomal RNA, 440 nt
Filed under: uncultured bacterium
Lineage: Bacteria
Description: bacterial SSU rRNA
Rfam family: Bacterial small subunit ribosomal RNA
Source: RNAcentral
CCUACGGGAGGCUGCAGUGGGGAAUAUUGGACAAUGGGCGCAAGCCUGAUCCAGCCAUGCCGCGUGAGUGACGAAGGUCUUCGGAUUGUAAAGCUCUUUUGGCGGGGACGAUAAUGACGGUACCCGCAGAAUAAGCCCCGGCUAACUUCGUGCCAGCAGCCGCGGUAAUACGAAGGGGGCUAGCGUUGUUCGGAAUUACUGGGCGUAAAGCGCACGUAGGCGGAUUGCUAAGUCAGGGGUGAAAUCCCGGGGCUCAACCUCGGAACUGCCUUUGAUACUGACAGUCUUGAGUCCGGAAGAGGUGAGUGGAAUUCCUAGUGUAGAGGUGAAAUUCGUAGAUAUUAGGAAGAACACCAGUGGCGAAGGCGGCUCACUGGUCCGGUACUGACGCUGAGGUGCGAAAGCGUGGGGAGCAAACAGGAUUAGAUACCCUAGUAGUC